UACAGAGGGUGCGAACGUUGUUCGGAAUUACUGGGCAUAAAGAGCACGUAGGCGGCACCGCAAGUGUGGGGUGAAAUCCCACGGCUUACCCGUGGAACUGCCUGGCAGACUGCGGUGCUAGAGGUUGGUAGGGGAGAGCGGAACUCUUGGUGGAGCGGUGAAAUGCGUAGAUAUCAGGAAGAACACCCGUGGCGAAGGCGGCUCUCUGGGACGGUACUGACGCUGAGACGCGAAAGCGUGGGGAGCGAACAGG
RNAcentral lists this ribosomal RNA (253 nucleotides) under uncultured bacterium. RNAcentral describes it as "partial 16S ribosomal RNA". It matches the Rfam family "Bacterial small subunit ribosomal RNA", at positions 524 to 776 of the family's 1533-position model. The record is from RNAcentral.